RNAcentral lists this ribosomal RNA (253 nucleotides) under uncultured bacterium. RNAcentral describes it as "partial 16S ribosomal RNA". It matches the Rfam family "Bacterial small subunit ribosomal RNA", at positions 524 to 776 of the family's 1533-position model. The record is from RNAcentral.
UACGUAGGGGGCAAGCGUUGUCCGGAAUCAUUGGGCGUAAAGCGCGUGUAGGCGGCCCGGUAAGUCCGCUGUGAAAGUCCAGGGCUCAACCCUGGAAUGCCGGUGGAUACUGUCGGGCUCGAGUCCGGAAGAGGCGAGUGGAAUUCCUGGUGUAGCGGUGAAAUGCGCAGAUAUCAGGAGGAACACCGAGGGCGAAGGCAGCUCGCUGGGACGGUACUGACGCUGAGACGCGAAAGCGUGGGGAGCAAACAGG